RNAcentral lists this ribosomal RNA (497 nucleotides) under uncultured bacterium. RNAcentral's name for it is "partial 16S ribosomal RNA". It matches the Rfam family "Bacterial small subunit ribosomal RNA", at positions 28 to 507 of the family's 1533-position model. The record is from RNAcentral.
GAUGAACGCUGGCGGCGUGCCUAAUACAUGCAAGUCGAGCGAACGGACGAGAAGCUUGCUUCUCUGAUGUUAGCGGCGGACGGGUGAGUAACACGUGGAUAACCUACCUAUAAGACUGGGAUAACUUCGGGAAACCGGAGCUAAUACCGGAUGAUAUUUUGAACCGCAUGGUUCAAAAGUGAAAGACGGUCUUGCUGUCACUUAUAGAUGGAUCCGCGCUGCAUUAGCUAGUUGGUAAGGUAACGGCUUACCAAGGCAACGAUGCAUAGCCGACCUGAGAGGGUGAUCGGCCACACUGGAACUGAGACACGGUCCCGACUCCUACGGGAGGCAGCAGUAGGGAAUCUUCCGCAAUGGGCGAAAGCCUGACGGAGCAACGCCGCGUGAGUGAUGAAGGUCUUCGGAUCGUAAAACUCUAUUAUUAGGGAAGAACAUAUGUGUAAGUAACUGUGCACAUCUUGACGGUACCUAAUCAGAAAGCCACGGCUAACUACGUG